GGGGACAUGGUGUAACCAGGCCAUCAUCGCAGGCUCCAGACCUGUGGAUCGGAGUUCAAAUCUCCGUGUCCCCACCA
This 77-nucleotide transfer RNA is filed under the name Candidatus Methanofastidiosia archaeon. RNAcentral describes it as "tRNA-Trp". It matches the Rfam family "tRNA". Rfam says of the family: Transfer RNA (tRNA) molecules are approximately 80 nucleotides in length. Their secondary structure includes four short double-helical elements and three loops (D, anti-codon, and T loops). RNAcentral also lists the same sequence under 1 other name. Lineage: Archaea; Methanobacteriati; Methanobacteriota; Candidatus Methanofastidiosia. The record is from RNAcentral.